Pistacia vera is the source of this 280-nucleotide long non-coding RNA. RefSeq lists it as uncharacterized. The transcript has 3 exons. NCBI's taxonomy places the organism in Eukaryota, Viridiplantae, Streptophyta, Magnoliopsida, Sapindales, Anacardiaceae. The record is from RefSeq and is a predicted model, not a curated record.
CUCAAGUUUGUGGUGAUUGUUGCACAGAAAAAUCACCAUACUAAGUUCUUUCAAUCUGGAUCUCCUGAUAAUGUUCCACCUGGAACUGUUCUAGACAACAGAGUCUGUCAUCCGAAGAAUAACGAUUUCUAUCUUUGUGCACAUGCUGGAAUGAUUGUACCGGAGAAGCACUAGAACCAUUUGGCGUGGGUAAGUUAUUUUGUCAUCAUAUUAACUAGUCAACGACUAUUUUGGUUAAAUUCAAGAUGUGUUUCUUUAAUAGUUUUGUAUAAAAAGAAUA